Molecule: long non-coding RNA, 505 nt
Organism: Dermacentor silvarum
Lineage: Eukaryota; Metazoa; Arthropoda; Arachnida; Ixodida; Ixodidae
Exons: 3
Source: RefSeq, a predicted model, not a curated record
UUGGAAGCCACUCCCAAAGCCACCUUAUCUCCGAGACACGGCUCGACAAGGACAAGGAGACUGUGGCACAAGGUCAAACAAAGCGGACCAACCUCGUCGUAUCACCCAUUAAGUGGGAGCGUGGCUCAGCGCCUACCUCCAGAAGCGGUGGCAGCUGUGCGUCGGUAUAGCCGAAGAGACUACUCUGCAAGACUUGCAGUGGUGACAUUCACGUCAAAGUUCUUCCGCUUUCCCAAGCAACCAUGACGCAACGCACGGCUAACCAUGGAUGACAUUCUCAUUUGCCCUGUCGGUGCAAUACUGUGCACUGGUGAGUAUUAAUCACUAUUGCGCCGUGCUUUUUCCUGCUGUCUGAUAGACAGUUUAUUCAUCCGCUCGCUCUCCUCUACUUUGGUGAUUCAGGCAUAGGGGCACUUUACACCGCGAUGUGCAUGGCAAAGCAUCGCAAUUUUCUGUUCUUAAAUUGGUUGCUGCGAAGAGACUGCUACACCUCAAAACCUCUUUU